UACGUGGGGUGCAAGCGUUAUCCGGAUUUAUUGGGCGUAAAGAGUUCGUAGGCGUCUUAUCAAGUUUUGCUUGAAAUCCCAAGGCUUAACCUUGGAACUGGGUGAAAUACUGGUAAGAUCGAGUCUGUUAGGGGGUACUGGAACUCACGGUGUAGCAGUGAAAUGCGUUGAUAUCGUGAGGAACACCAAGGGCGAAGGCAGGUACCUGGGACAUGACUGACGCUGAGGAACGAAAGCUAGGGGAGCGAAAGGG
RNAcentral lists this ribosomal RNA (253 nucleotides) under uncultured bacterium. Its description in RNAcentral is "partial 16S ribosomal RNA". It matches the Rfam family "Bacterial small subunit ribosomal RNA", at positions 524 to 776 of the family's 1533-position model. The record is from RNAcentral.